Molecule: long non-coding RNA, 887 nt
Filed under: Chinchilla lanigera (long-tailed chinchilla)
Lineage: Eukaryota; Metazoa; Chordata; Mammalia; Rodentia; Chinchillidae
Description: lncRNA (ENSCLAG00000027103.1)
Source: RNAcentral
GUGAGUCACCUGAGAUCUCUGGAUUCUAAAAGCAGCUCUACUGUGACAUCAGAAUUGCCAGAUGCAAGAUGAAUAGGCAGAAAUCAAGUGAUGAUAAGGUCAAAACUAGAAUCAGUUAUUCAAAACUAGUAACUUUAGAGAGGAUUGUAAAUAAGGGAGAAGAGAAAACCAACUUCUAUCACUAUCCCAGUAUUAAAUAGGGUUUUGUGCCUCUAACACGGAAUUUGCACUCCUUAGAAGAAUAUCUGUUCCGUCACAGAGUUUGGCGUCUGCUCCUAGUUAAACUGAGAUAAAUAUGUGGGUGAAGCAGCAGGAGUCCAGUCUGCCUUCCAGAGAGCACCCUGGAGCUGUCCGCAGGAAGGUGCUGGAAAGGGCAGCUGCAGAUGGUUCAGCUCCUGAAGACUCUGGGCCUCUUGAGAUCACUGAAUUAAAGGAAGGUUUUCCUGUGGCUCUGAUCUCCCAGAAAUAUAGUACACUCAGAAAUGAAACUACUGGAUCUUCUUACGUAGGACUCACUCACAUAAAGUACAAGCCUCUGAGUCGAUCCUCUGAUCAAACCAAAGGCCAGGGAGCCCUCUGGACGAUCUUGAUGAUAUAUGAGAACGCUCUACGGCAUCAGCUGGGAAGACUGCAGCCAACACUGGAAUAAUCAAAAGUGACCACAUACGAUAAUAGUCUGUGUGACAGCAAAGAGGGGACACCAGGAAGCAGGUGGUUUAUGUGACAGAGGAUCAAUAUUCCCGUAGAGGGAAUAAAAUGGGUUCCAAAUGGAAAAUAAACACACGGAGAAUAAGAGCAGGAACACAAGAGAAAGGGAAGAAAAAUAAGCCAAACCUGCAGGAAACAUCACAACAAAGGGGAUGUGGGGGUGUGAGCGGGAGCCACAG